AUAGAAAAACUGUAAAAAUCUUGGAAGAGAGCGAGAGAAAGGAGGUGGGCGUAACGAGAAACAUAUCAAAGGCUUGGUUAGUUGUUAGCGACUAAUAAACAGCUGACAAGGGGGCCAUCAACAUGUAUGUGAAAGAUGGUUUGAUAGUACUGGGCUUCCUCACUAUAUCAGUAUCAUGCUUUGUGUUUGAUCUACGAUCUGGUUUAACAAAGCGAGAACGAUGUCAGGUGCAGGUAGUUCGAUUGACCAUCCAUCCGCCGCGGAUGUUCCAGGAUAAAUGUUCCCCUUCUCGAAUAGUUACCUACGGAUGUAGAGGAACCUGUCACUCCUACAGCAAAUUAGACAGAAACAACACAACAAAACUCAUGCGAUCUUGCAAUUGUUGUGAACCAAUAAGAGUGGGAUUACGGUUAGCUGUUCUUGAAUGUGUUAAUGGCAUCCAGAUCCGAACACCAGUGAAAUUUGCUCGUCAGUGCCAGUGUCGACCCUGCUUUUCAUCCGUCCACAACAUGGAUAUUAACCGUUUACAACAAUUAUUGCGCAAAACGUCGUUUAAGAAUUCUCUGAUAAGAGGAUGAACUCUAAAGAACUAGAAUCGUGCCCUGUUAUUAAUUAUAUUUUACUGUAUCUGUCUUCGAUAUUAGUGGCUUUGUAAAUAUAUAUAUAUAUAUAUAUGCUCGGUGUGUCUCACAGUGUACGUCGUAAGAUCUCUUCUUCACUUGCGCCAAGACUCAAGCUGCCAAGCACUACAGUAGACCUUUUCAAAGUUACAAUUUCAUAUUUUUAUGUUAUAUUUUUAAAAUGUAUUAAAAUAAAGUCCGAAAAUAGAUGGUAUCUAUAAACAGUCCUUCCUUGUUAAAGAAUAAUCCUAUUAAUCCUAUAAUUCACUAUUGCCAGUUGAGAAAUUGGCAAAAAUAUCAUUCUCAACUUCCAAUUCAAACGUUUGAAGAUAGCUACUCCAUGGUGGAGAAUAGCAAACAAGGGAGGUAAAUGAGUUUUAAGUGUGAGAAUGAUACCUACGAUCUUAUAAUAGUGAGUUGACAACCUAUUGAGCAAAAGACAUAGAAAUAAUUAUAUUUUGACUUUCUUAGAAAAUAUGAAAUUGUAACUUUAAAGUUCUAGCAUGUCUACGGUACAAACAGAAUCCACACCCCUUUGUA
This is a long non-coding RNA of Patella vulgata (common limpet), 1160 nucleotides long. RefSeq lists it as uncharacterized. The transcript is spliced from 3 exons. The record is from RefSeq and is a predicted model, not a curated record. NCBI's taxonomy places the organism in Eukaryota, Metazoa, Mollusca, Gastropoda, Patellidae.